Long non-coding RNA from Rosa chinensis, 613 nucleotides. RefSeq lists it as uncharacterized. The transcript has 3 exons. NCBI's taxonomy places the organism in Eukaryota, Viridiplantae, Streptophyta, Magnoliopsida, Rosales, Rosaceae. The record is from RefSeq and is a predicted model, not a curated record.
UUGUGAUUGAAUAAUUCAGGCAUGUGUACGUUCAGUUUAGGGAGGGAGAACAUGCUGCAGCUGCGCUUCAGAAUCUCACUGGGAGGUUACGUGCAGUUAUUGAAGUUGACUUGGUGGUUUUGAUUCCGGCAACGAAUUUCAAGUCUUGCUUUGAACAAAACCAAUUUUGGUUAACUCUUUUCUAUGGCUCAGAUUCUUGAAGCAUCAAAUGAUGAAGAGAUGUUUAGCUGAAAAGCGAAAAACAAACACUAAUGAAUUGUUUUGGUGUUAGCAUGUUUUAACAAUCAUAGAGUUGAUCGAUUUGCCUUUACACCGUAUAUUUGAUUGCUGGCUCAAUGGUACUCAGAAUUGAUUUUAGCAAAAAGUGUGAAAAAAAAAUAUUUGAUAUGCUCUGUAUGUUUAGGCAAAUUAUAUAUUUGGCUGUUUCGGAGUAUUUAUGGUUUUGGGGUUAUCAGUACAUGGUUUUGGGGUUACCAGUGAGUGCAUUGGUGCUUUGGAAAGGGAGCAUGGAAUCCAGGAAAAGCUGUUUGGUUAUGGUGGUUAAUAGAGAGCAGGGAUAGCUAUGGACUUUUGUGGUGGAGUUGUGUAGUGCUUCUGUAUUUGGUUUAUCAAG